ACGGAGGGUGCAAGCGUUAAUCGGAAUUACUGGGCGUAAAGGGCGCGUAGGUGGCUUGGUAAGUCGGAUGUGAAAGCCCCGGGCUUAACCUGGGAACUGCAUUCGAUACGGGCUCGCUCGAGUACGGUAGAGGAGAUUGGAAUUCCCGGUGUAGCGGUGGAAUGCGCAGAUAUCAGGAGGAACACCGAUGGCGAAGGCAGCUCUCUGGGCCGCUACUGACGCUGAGGCGCGAAAGCAUGGGGAGCAAACAG
This 251-nucleotide ribosomal RNA is filed under the name uncultured prokaryote. RNAcentral describes it as "partial 16S rRNA". It matches the Rfam family "Bacterial small subunit ribosomal RNA", at positions 525 to 775 of the family's 1533-position model. The record is from RNAcentral.